Molecule: long non-coding RNA, 652 nt
Organism: Carassius auratus (goldfish)
Lineage: Eukaryota; Metazoa; Chordata; Actinopteri; Cypriniformes; Cyprinidae
Exons: 3
Source: RefSeq, a predicted model, not a curated record
AUGCGAUAAUCAAUCGCAACAGCCUGCAAUCUCUCUCAGUCACCUGUUUCUCCAGCGAUCGCAUUUUUCCUUUCCCUUUGCUAAAGCAACGUCUUAAGUCUGUCUGCAGACCAUAGCAGAGAUGACCAGGCAGAAGCUCGGAACCUGCAGACCGGGUCACGGCACCACCGGACGGAUCGUAGAGGAGCUUGAGAGGACAGCAGCAGACAAGAGGAGCGAGGAGCAGCCCAUCCCUGAGGUGUGUCUGUACGAGAAGCCUCCAGCUGUUGCGAGCCGCAGGCACCUGGCCAGAUAUCAGCGGCCUGCACCCCGGUCAAGCCACCGUCCCACGCCAUGGAGAACUUCAAUUACAGUGGGAUUCUCAGAGCGGAGAGCGAGGGGCUUGCAUUGAUUGAGGAGGGCAACAAUUGAUUUUGUCCAUUACGUGGUGAGAAUGUUUCCAUCCUGCACAGAUCAGGUUGCCCUCCUCCUGUGGGUGGAGAUAAGAGGCUGCUGCAUUGUGGCUGCCUAAUCUGUGUGACGGCACUUGUCUGUGCUGAAAUUGAUGUGGCUUUUCAUGCAGCCGCGUGUGGGUCUCCAUCGGGGGGGUCUGUUCCUCUGCACCCCCGUCUCAGAUCCACUCGGCGCACUGAGUGCAGCGCAAAUCAGCAAA